CGCACAUUGCGCCCUCUGGCAUUCCGGAGGGCACACCUGUUCGAGCGUCAUUAUCAACCCUCAAGCCCCGGCUUGGUGUUGGAGGCCCGGCCGCUGGUCACAGUGGCCGCUCCCAAAGACAAUGACGGCGCCUGGAGGCCCCCGGUACAUUGAGCUUUCUCUAAAGCACGUACUGCGGUCGCGUCCCCGGGCGUUCUGUCUGUUACCUAUUUUUUAUAUGGUUGACCUCGGAUCAGGUGGGGAUACCCGCUGAACUUAA
RNAcentral lists this unclassified non-coding RNA (259 nucleotides) under Chaetothyriales sp. Its description in RNAcentral is "partial contains 5.8S ribosomal RNA, internal transcribed spacer 2, and large subunit ribosomal RNA". Lineage: Eukaryota; Fungi; Ascomycota; Eurotiomycetes; Chaetothyriales. The record is from RNAcentral.